AUCCAGAUGACGAGUUCCAAAUACAACGAAAUGUGCGUCAUGGAU
Molecule: non-coding RNA, 45 nt
Filed under: Schistosoma curassoni
Lineage: Eukaryota; Metazoa; Platyhelminthes; Trematoda; Strigeidida; Schistosomatidae
Source: RNAcentral